This is a long non-coding RNA of Salvelinus fontinalis (brook trout), 485 nucleotides long. RefSeq lists it as uncharacterized. The transcript has 3 exons. The record is from RefSeq and is a predicted model, not a curated record. NCBI's taxonomy places the organism in Eukaryota, Metazoa, Chordata, Actinopteri, Salmoniformes, Salmonidae.
AGCGUCUCACUGCCUCUGGACUGCUGCCCCACAUCAUUCUACUGAGGAUCGGACUACCUUUCCAUUUGAAAUCCAUAAUGACGAAUGUCAAUGACCAAAGGAACCCCAGUUCCAGACCUGUUGAAAGAGCACCAGUGGCCUUUGGUAGGGGUGGUGGUAGAAGGGGUCCACACUGACGCAGAGCGGGGCUGCCCUGGGGGCUUGGUUCUGGGAGACUAAGCCACUGAGCCUUCCCUCCCUUGGUAAAUGAAGGCCUGGAGGGCAAUGCGGCCAGCGGGUCACCUGGCCAGGGAAGGAGCGGGACAGGGGAGCAGUGGUGAUUAAUGCCCUGUGUUUAGGGUGCCGUCAUCGGGAGGGAGACGGACGAGGGCUCAGCAUGAUGGAUGAGGGCUGGACCAGGGGCUGAUAAGACAUGGCCCAUGAAUCUGUUCUACAUCAUCGGCUCCUUUGAUCACUGACAGAAGUUCAGAGAUGGGCCUGUGCAU